RNAcentral lists this ribosomal RNA (492 nucleotides) under uncultured bacterium. Its description in RNAcentral is "partial 16S ribosomal RNA". It matches the Rfam family "Bacterial small subunit ribosomal RNA", at positions 29 to 507 of the family's 1533-position model. The record is from RNAcentral.
AGUGAACGCUGGCGGUAGGCAUAACACAUGCAAGUCGAACGGCAGCACAGUAAGAGCUUGCUCUUACGGGUGGCGAGUGGCGGACGGGUGAGGAAUACAUCGGAAUCUACUUUUUCGUGGGGGAUAACGUAGGGAAACUUACGCUAAUACCGCAUACGACCUACGGGUGAAAGCAGGGGAUCUUCGGACCUUGCGCGAUUGAAUGAGCCGAUGUCGGAUUAGCUAGUUGGCGGGGUAAAGGCCCACCAAGGCGACGAUCCGUAGCUGAUCUGAGAGGAUGAUCAGCCACACUGGAACUGAGACACGGUCCAGACUCCUACGGGAGGCAGCAGUGGGGAAUAUUGGACAAUGGGCGCAAGCCUGAUCCAGCCAUACCGCGUGAGUGAAGAAGGCCUUCGGGUUGUAAAGCCCUUUUGUUGGGAAAGAAAAGCAGCAGGUGAAUACCCCGCUGUUCUGACGGUACCCAAAGAAUAAGCACCGGCUAACUUCGUG